Non-coding RNA from Pelobates cultripes (western spadefoot toad), 722 nucleotides. NCBI's taxonomy places the organism in Eukaryota, Metazoa, Chordata, Amphibia, Anura, Pelobatidae. The record is from the annotation of a GenBank genome assembly.
UAUGAAUGGGUUAAGCCUUCCCCCAAAGCCUCUAGUGGCUGUCUCAUUGACAGCCACUAGAGGCACUUGCGUGCUUCUCACUGUGAUUUUCACAGUGAGAGCACACCAGCGUCCAUAGGAAAGCAUUAUGAAUGCCGCGCGUGCGCAUUCAGCCGACGGGGCGGAACGGAGGAGGAGAGAAGGAGGAGAGCUCUCCGCCCAGCGCUGGAAAAAGGUAAGUUUAAACCCUUUUCCCCCUUCCAGAGACGGGCGGGUGGGGGACCCUGAGGGUGGGGGCACCCUCAGGGCACUAUAGUGCCAGGAAAACGAGUAUGUUUUCCUGGCACUAUAGUGGUCCUUUAAGAAAUGUGUAUUUGUGAGGUGUGAAAAAUCAAUGUAGAAAUUCACACCUCUGUAUCUUUGUUCUCUGUCAAUUAAUGUUUACCCUGGCUUUGCAUUGUCUGAGCUGGAUAAUGAUGUAAAUUAUGAGAAAAAUUACCCCAAGUUAUCUGUGAUUUUUUUUUUUUAUGUUUUGUUUAAUGGGGUAAAUUGCAAGGCAUGACAGUUUCUUUUUAAUGGUCUUAUUCUUGAUGGUGUGCGUAAUAUUUUGUUCAUGGUCAUUUCUGUUACCAGUGAUUUAUAGUACAAAGGUUUUGACCAUUUUUUUGUAUUGUAAUGGAAAUGUACAUAUGUUAUUUUUUCACUUUUUGUUAUAAUUGUGAUAUUAAAAACCCAAUGCUUAC